RNAcentral lists this ribosomal RNA (434 nucleotides) under uncultured bacterium. Its description in RNAcentral is "bacterial SSU rRNA". It matches the Rfam family "Bacterial small subunit ribosomal RNA", at positions 29 to 507 of the family's 1533-position model. The record is from RNAcentral.
AGCGAACGCUAGGCGGCAGGCCUAAUACAUGCAAGUCGAACGGCUUCUUCGGAAGCAGUGGCGGACGGGUGAGUAACGCGUGGGAACGUGCCCUUUGGUACGGAACAACUGAGGGAAACUUCAGCUAAUACCGUAUGUGCCCUUCGGGGGAAAGAUUUAUCGCCAUUGGAGCGGCCCGCGUUAGAUUAGCUAGUUGGUGGGGUAAAGGCCUACCAAGGCAACGAUCUAUAGCUGGUCUGAGAGGAUGAUCAGCCACACUGGGACUGAGACACGGCCCAGACUCCUACGGGAGGCAGCAGUAGGGAAUCUUGCGCAAUGGGCGAAAGCCUGACGCAGCCAUGCCGCGUGAAUGAUGAAGGUCUUAGGAUUGUAAAAUUCUUUCACCGGGGACGAUAAUGACGGUACCCGGAGAAGAAGCUCCGGCUAACUUCGUG